RNAcentral lists this ribosomal RNA (701 nucleotides) under Halomonas sp. GWS-BW-H73M. RNAcentral's name for it is "bacterial SSU rRNA". It matches the Rfam family "Bacterial small subunit ribosomal RNA", at positions 59 to 758 of the family's 1533-position model. Lineage: Bacteria; Pseudomonadati; Pseudomonadota; Gammaproteobacteria; Oceanospirillales; Halomonadaceae. The record is from RNAcentral.
AAGUCGAGCGGUAACAGAUCUAGCUUGCUAGAUGCUGACGAGCGGCGGACGGGUGAGUAAUGCAUAGGAAUCUGCCCGAUAGUGGGGGAUAACCUGGGAAACCCAGGCUAAUACCGCAUACGUCCUACGGGAGAAAGGGGGCUUCGGCUCCCGCUAUUGGAUGAGCCUAUGUCGGAUUAGCUAGUUGGUAAGGUAAUGGCUUACCAAGGCAACGAUCCGUAGCUGGUCUGAGAGGAUGAUCAGCCACAUCGGGACUGAGACACGGCCCGAACUCCUACGGGAGGCAGCAGUGGGGAAUAUUGGACAAUGGGGGCAACCCUGAUCCAGCCAUGCCGCGUGUGUGAAGAAGGCCCUCGGGUUGUAAAGCACUUUCAGCGAGGAAGAACGCCUGGUGGUUAAUACCCACUAGGAAAGACAUCACUCGCAGAAGAAGCACCGGCUAACUCCGUGCCAGCAGCCGCGGUAAUACGGAGGGUGCAAGCGUUAAUCGGAAUUACUGGGCGUAAAGCGCGCGUAGGUGGCUUGAUAAGCCGGUUGUGAAAGCCCCGGGCUCAACCUGGGAACGGCAUCCGGAACUGUCAGGCUAGAGUGCAGGAGAGGAAGGUAGAAUUCCCGGUGUAGCGGUGAAAUGCGUAGAGAUCGGGAGGAAUACCAGUGGCGAAGGCGGCCUUCUGGACUGACACUGACACUGAGGUGCGAAA